Papaver somniferum (opium poppy) is the source of this 511-nucleotide long non-coding RNA. RefSeq lists it as uncharacterized. The record is from RefSeq and is a predicted model, not a curated record. The transcript is spliced from 3 exons. NCBI's taxonomy places the organism in Eukaryota, Viridiplantae, Streptophyta, Magnoliopsida, Ranunculales, Papaveraceae.
UCUUUGAUUAGGGUUACCACAUCUUUUUGAUAGAAGGGGUUAGAAUAGGAGCAGAACUGUGGAAUAUAGGUACUUUUUUAUUAUUGCGGUUAUUGUUUAGAGACUUUGUGAUAUUUGUGAUUAAAAAUAGGCUGGUUCCGGGUUCCCUCUGAUUUUUUAAGUUAACUUAUUUUGUCUAAUUUUGUUUUUGCAUACAUGUUCUAUUUUUGUUACUGAUUUACUUUCUUUUUUGAUAGUGCAGGUGAUUUACUUUCUUUUUGAUAGUGCAGGUGAUUUACUUUCUUUUUGAUAGGGUUCCAAAUUAAAGAUUGCUAUUAUCCUAUGGUGGCAGAAGUAUGCUCCCUUUUUGAAGAAGUGUCAAGGGACUAUAUCAUCUGAAUUAUCUCCCGUGAGAAAAUUUGAAAUGAAAAGAACUUUUGGGUGGUGUGAGACUUACUGAACUCAACAUGCGAAUCAUGGCUCAAGAAAGUUUUCCAGCCACCGGUGUUUGAGGAGAAAGAUCUUACAAACU